This 541-nucleotide ribosomal RNA is filed under the name Salmonella enterica. Its description in RNAcentral is "partial 23S ribosomal RNA". It matches the Rfam family "Bacterial large subunit ribosomal RNA", at positions 711 to 1250 of the family's 2925-position model. The record is from RNAcentral. Lineage: Bacteria; Pseudomonadati; Pseudomonadota; Gammaproteobacteria; Enterobacterales; Enterobacteriaceae.
AGACCCGAAACCCGGUGAUCUAGCCAUGGGCAGGUUGAAGGUUGGGUAACACUAACUGGAGGACCGAACCGACUAAUGUUGAAAAAUUAGCGGAUGACCUGUGGCUGGGGGUGAAAGGCCAAUCAAACCGGGAGAUAGCUGGUUCUCCCCGAAAGCUAUUUAGGUAGCGCCUCGUGAAUUCAUCUCCGGGGGUAGAGCACUGUUUCGGCUAGGGGGCCAUCCCGGCUUACCAACCCGAUGCAAACUGCGAAUACCGGAGAAUGUUAUCACGGGAGACACACGGCGGGUGCUAACGUCCGUCGUGAAGAGGGAAACAACCCAGACCGCCAGCUAAGGUCCCAAAGUCAUAGUUAAGUGGGAAACGAUGUGGGAAGGCCCAGACAGCCAGGAUGUUGGCUUAGAAGCAGCCAUCAUUUAAAGAAAGCGUAAUAGCUCACUGGUCGAGUCGGCCUGCGCGGAAGAUGUAACGGGGCUAAACCAUGCACCGAAGCUGCGGCAGCGACACUAUGUGUUGUUGGGUAGGGGAGCGUUCUGUAAGCCU